This is a long non-coding RNA of Gallus gallus (chicken), 2984 nucleotides long. Lineage: Eukaryota; Metazoa; Chordata; Aves; Galliformes; Phasianidae. The record is from Ensembl.
ACUUGACCCUUUGAUGUGGUAGAAGAAGCACGUGUCACAGCACUAGGCUGAGGGACUGUUGCCGCAUGGAUGGGAGCUGCAGUGCGCUCAACUAUGGCAUAGGUCGUCCCGAUCGUCAUUUGGAAAGCUGAGUACUUACAGGCAUGAAUGGACAUACUGUAGGACCGGUUUUGGGGUAGAAGGGGCAAUGCUGGGGGAGGAUACUAUCAGCUCAGACCUGCUGGGAAGGGAAUAUGGGCAGCAUGGCCAUGCUAGGGCCACUCAAUGGGUAUUCUUCCUCCAGACCUUGAAGGCGGCAGGAAAUCCUCUACGUGCCCACCUGAUGGGCUGCAACCAGAGUCAGCCACUGUCAGCCUACACUUCAGCUUCAUCCACAGACCCAUGGCUCACUCAAACUCACACAUGGAGGCAGAGUCACAGAUGGGGCUGGAAUACGGCCGCCCAUUUCUUCAUCUUCCCAAAUUGGGAAAUUGUGACCCUAUGCAGUUUGCAGCACAUCUCACACACAGAAUCUUGCCAAAGAUGAUGUAAUGCGUGGAGUCAUAUCUGGCAGGUGAGGCACGCUCUGGUACAGUAAAUAUUGCAGCUGUUCUUCGGAGCAAAUGGUUUUGAAAGAAAUUUCAGAUGGUAAAAUGCAUACAGAAAAUCUGCCAUCAAGGUGCCAGUUCUCUGGCAAGACAGAAAACCCUACAGAGUACUACAGAGUGGCCGUAUGGCCAUGGGGGAUGAUGGAAAAACCCUGGCUCCUUCAUUCAUCCUCCCUCUGGAAGUGGUGCUCACUUGAGCACAGGCAUCACGGCACAUGGGCACGAGCUGUGUGAGCCAGGUUUGGGGCUGGAGAGCGGUGACACCUUAAUUUUGAUGGGAUGACAUACAGCACAGAGUCACACGAUAGAAAAUAGGAGCAUGGGGUGGGUAUAAAGUAUUUAAUGCCUUGCAAAAGGCAGCUGAGGAAGCUGCAAAGGAGAACUCACCACUCUUGACUGCUUGCCUGGGGCUGUGUGCAGCUGGGUAAAGGAGAAGUGAGAGGACAGGGGUCUGCCUGGGGCUGGAGGAGCCGUGGCUUUGCUAGCAGUCAGAACUGAGGUCUGCAGUAAUGAGGCAAAAAGGCACACAGCACGACAAAGCCUGGAGCAGCCCUGCCUGAUGCGGGUGGCAGGAACACGCAGUGCCAGGGGCAGCCAAGUUGAUCUCCCAGGUUCUCCAUAACCUGCACUGUGACCUUGGGCAGUGCCCAUCACCCUGUCCUCCUCGUGCUCCUUUGUGGUCUGCUCAGAGUUCAGAAUUAGCCCUUGCUAAUUUGAUCCCUCAGUGUUUCAUCAGUGCCGCUCUCCUCCAUCACCCUCCACGCCGUACAUUUGGGUGGACGGCUGAAAGGACUCCUGCUCUCUUUUGAUCACUGUCGGCUCUCCCUGCUUAUUUGCUGCCCUCAUCUCUCCUCCUUCCUGAGCAGCUCUGAGUUCGUUUAAAAGAAAACACAGUAUUUUGCUCCAUUUCUAAAUAUAUUGAAUGGUACGGCAUUAUCACAGUGGAUGCAAAUAAUGACUUUUACUUCACUUUUCUAACACCUGUUCCAUCUGCACCCAAGAUGCUGACUGCGACUGAAGAAAUGGUCCUCCCCCAUCACCCCGGGGCUGAACGACACAUUGCACUAUUUGAGUGAACACUGCAGUAUUUGAGUGUAGAUGGGAAAAACAAGCGUUGGACCGAAUGCUCAGUACAUGGAAGAAGCUUUCCUGCUGGCAGCUUGUAGAGGUGUCACCCAGCCCAUCUGAACGUUGGAGAGACACUGGUUGCCCUCUGGGGCUGGGGCUGACGUUCAGGGCUUGAGGCUCCAUUCUCCACAGCAGAGCCUGGUGGGCUCCAGCCAACUCUCCACAGGGGAUAUUCAGAUUCCUCCAGGGAUAAAAACUGUCAGAGGAGAUGGAUACAGCUGAGUUGACACAGACAUACAAUCUUGGCUCCUGUGAACCAAGGACUUAGCGGUGUCACUCCCAGAAGACCACUGAGGGGUUUCCAGCCUCCACCCUGAGAGAGAGGCUCAAGGACUUCAAGGACAUCACACUUCGAUGGGAAGAAAUCUUCACUCUGCAGCCUGAGUGCAUGCAGAGAAGUUAUAAAUCUUUUUUUCUGGUGCCAGCAUUUACCUUAAAUAACAUUUCUGCCUCUCUACCGCAGUGACAGCUCAAAUUGGCUUUUCUUUGGGUACACUGCAAACUGCAAGUUUCUCCUCACGACAGUCUCUGUUUCCUUGGUUGACUGUUUUGUCCAGUACUGGUAUUCUUUGUGGGGCACUUUGCUUUUGUAGCAAACAACAGUGUUUGUGUAGCACUCAAGCAGGCAUACUGAGAGAUACUGUACAGCAUUAUCAUAGAAUCAUAGAAUGGCCUGGGUUGAAAAGGACCACAACGAUCAUCGAGUUUCAACCCCCCUGCUAUGUACAGGGCCGCCAACUACCAGACCAGGCUGCCCAGAGCCACAUCCAGCCUGGCCUUGAAUGCCUCCAGGGAUGGGGCAUCUACAACCUCCUCGGGCAACCUGUUCCAGUGCGUCACCACCCUCUGGGUGAAAAACCUCCUCCUAAUAUCUAACCUAAACCUCCCCUGAAACUCCUUCCUCCAUGAACCUCCCCCCUGAACUCCCCAUUAGUCCUACUUGCUUGGUUUUCUAAUGGACAGGGACUCAUAAUCCCAUAACUCAAUCAACAUUAUUGGCGAAUGGAUCCUUGUGUAGUCUUUCAGGUGAGAUACUGAUAACCAGAUCCACUAACCCUAAAAUAUUUCUCUCUCUAGGACAAGAAAAUAGAUCCUUCCCCAUUUCCAAAUUCAUUCUCUACACUUCUAAAAAUAUGUGAAAAUAGAUUUUGCUGGCCUGGUUUGUCCCCUCACGGAAAUGCGCCCAGCAAGUUAUUCCAGAUCUACUCCAGCGUCACCUCUGUUCAGUGUUUAUUUUGGAAUAAAUAAACACUGUGGACAUGCUUCUCU